RNAcentral lists this ribosomal RNA (393 nucleotides) under uncultured bacterium. RNAcentral describes it as "bacterial SSU rRNA". It matches the Rfam family "Bacterial small subunit ribosomal RNA", at positions 355 to 773 of the family's 1533-position model. The record is from RNAcentral.
UGGGGAAUAUUGCGCAAUGGGCGAAAGCCUGACGCAGCGACGCCGCGUGAAGGAUGAAGGCCUUAGGGUUGUAAACUUCUGUUAAGUGGGAAAUGGUACCACUAGAGAAAGCACCGGCUAAUCUCGUGCCAGCAGCCGCGGUAAUACGAGAGGUGCAAGCGUUAUUCGGAAUUAUUGGGUGUAAAGGGUGCGUAGACGGUGUGUUAAGUCUGUUGUUAAAUCUUUCGGCUUAACCGAAAAUCAGCAAUGGAAACUGGCAUGCUAGAGUGUGAGAGAGAGAAGUGGAAUUCUUGGAGUAGCGGUAAAAUGCGUAGAUCUCAAGAGGAACACCGAUGGCGAAGGCAGCUUCUUGGCUCACACUGACGUUGAGGCACGAAAGCGUGGGGAGCAAAC